GACGAACGCUGGCGGCGUGGAUUAGGCAUGCAAGUCGGACGGUAGAGCUUUAUCGUAAGAUAGAGUUUGAGAGUGGCGAACGGGUGAGUAACACGUAGGAAUCUACCCUUAAGACGGGGACAACCCAGGGAAACUUGGGCUAAUACCGGAUGAGGGUGCGAGAGAUUGCAUUUAAAAGGAUGGCGAAAGUUGUCGCUUAGGGAUGAGCCUGCGGUCUAUUAGCUAGUUGGUGAGGUAAAGGCUCACCAAGGCGACGAUCUGUAGCGGGUCUGAGAGGAUGAUCCGCCACACUGGAACUGAGACACGGUCCAGACUCCUACGGGAGGCAGCAGUGGGGAAUUUUGGACAAUGGGGGCAACCCUGAUCCAGCCAUGCCGCGUGAGUGAAGAAGGCCUUCGGGUUGUAAAGCUCUUUCGGCCGGGAAAAAAUCGCAUCAGUUAAUACCUGGUGUGGAUGAUGGUACCGGAAUAAGAAGCACCGGCUAACUACGUG
Molecule: ribosomal RNA, 492 nt
Filed under: uncultured bacterium
Lineage: Bacteria
Description: bacterial SSU rRNA
Rfam family: Bacterial small subunit ribosomal RNA
Source: RNAcentral